CGGGUCGUAAAGCUCUGUGGGGAGGGACGAACAAGCCUGGUGCUAAUAUCACCGGGCCCUGACGGUACCUCCUUAGCAAGCACCGGCUAACCCUGUGC
Molecule: ribosomal RNA, 98 nt
Filed under: uncultured bacterium
Lineage: Bacteria
Description: partial 16S ribosomal RNA
Source: RNAcentral